Molecule: long non-coding RNA, 870 nt
Organism: Acanthaster planci (crown-of-thorns starfish)
Lineage: Eukaryota; Metazoa; Echinodermata; Asteroidea; Valvatida; Acanthasteridae
Source: RefSeq, a predicted model, not a curated record
GUUAAGACGCGGGAUUGGAAGCUGUUCUUGAUCCUGGCGCACCGUGUCCAGAGCCAGUAUAAAGCUCGCCAUCAAGUUUACAUGGUCGUAUAGAAGUUGGGCUCUCUGUCGUGCAGAAGGUGUGAAUUGACUAAUGUCCGGUAGAACGUCCAACUCGCACUCGACAUUCAAAUACUCCUCCUCGCCAAAGUACCGGUCGCUUUUCUGUAAGAUGGAAGCAUGGAACAUGGCGUCAGCAUUACUGAAGCAAAGGAAGUGUUCCAUUCCCGGGAGGAGUAGCGGCUCGUCCAGUUGAUCCACGAAACCAUCAGAGCUGGGGCCCGUCGUCAGGAGCGCCUUGUCCACGGCGUGAAUCAGACAUAACGGCUCGGCGGAGUCUGCUCUCAUCCUGGUGGUCAGCAUAGCGCCCAGCCCAACGCUGGGCGUCGUCGCCGGCAUUGUGAGGGGAUCGUCAUCGAUUAGAUUGGGAAUAGGAGUGGCUGGUAUGGACGUGGACAAACCUACAACUGUUGCCAGUCGACAUCCCCCCCCCAAAAAAGGAGAGAAAAAUGUAGAAUAAUCAGCAAAUGUUGAGCUUUGUCUGGCAGCAACACGUAACGGUGUUGAGUGCAUUUCAAAUCUCUUUCCAAAAUCAGAACUCAAUGGGCUAAAGUAUGUCUCAAAAUAAUAAUAAUAUAAGUGAAAAGCACUCAAUUAUUAAUGUAACUCACCCAAGAUGAAUACUGCAAAAUACAUUCUGUAUACAAGCAAGUUGUCCUUUAACUCAGGGUAUCUUUUCAUUGAAAUAAAUAAAAGGUCGUGAUUUUUGUCUCUUUCUUGUUGCUGUCAAGUCUUCAAUCUGAGAGCACGGUCAUCAUCUCUGUCCUUUAU